UGAGACCUUUUAUACAGUCUAUAAUUAAGACCAGAAGUUAACUUGAUUAUAAAUUUAAAAAGCCAGAUAAAACGAGAAGGGUCUGGCUGCAGACCAUGGGCGAGUGGAGCUCCACUCUCAAACCGGAAAUACGUCACCUCCACUUGAAAACAUCAAGAUGGCGUCGCCGGGAGUACUUCAAACUUAAACUCAGAUCAAAUGUAUAUCAAGUGUUAUCCAUCCUCAUAACACCUCCACAAAUAGAGAGUGGAACUUCUGAGCACCAUCACCUUGUCUGCUAUGGGACUGUCAUAGGAGAAUGAUGCAGUACUUUUCUGUGUUGAAUUUACCUAACGUCAGCACACAGACAUAGUAUUGUUCCAGUUUUGCUGUGCUCAUGUCUUCUUUGUGUCCCCAGCCCAGCAAUCAGAUGCAUCAGAACAACAAAGCACAACUGUGGUGGCCCAGGCACCUUCAGCAACAAGUAAAUUGCUUUAACAUUAAUGAUAAUUAAAUGUCAGUAUUGUAAUUAAACUUGACCCAUCUGACGUAAUUGUUCAUGCCAGAGAUUUAACAACACUGUCAGUCAGGAGCAUAUUUAACAGGAGGCACACUUCAGCUGGCUUGAUGGUGACUUCAGUAAGUGUGGUUGACCCUCUUGUUUUGUGGCUAUAAUAAUUAGACUAAGUAAUCUCACUCUCUUCCAUUUCCUUAACAUUACCCUUUUUUUGUUGAUACUGAACCGGUGCAGUGAAGAAAUUUAAAGAGACACUAUCUAAAGUACAGAAAGCCGUACAUAAUCUCUAGGUGCAGUCGCCUACAGUGCAGCCAGCUUCACAAAGACUGUGGGGCUGGUCACCAGGAAAAUGGGCAACAGGGAGUGCUUUUGGGGUUUUACUCCUCAGAUGACCACCCUGGCUACUGUAGCUGGGAUUGCUUCACAGACAAUGGAGGUCUUGAAGAGUAAAGUGUGCGUGCAUGUGAACACAUUGUGUUAUUACAGUAACAAUUAUGGUCACUUGCAGUUCAUGUGUUUUCAAUGUAGUGUAAGAUGUGUUAAUUAUUAUUAUUACUCAAAAACCAUUAAAACUUCUAAAUUGUGGAAGUUAUUCUUCA
This is a long non-coding RNA of Carassius auratus (goldfish), 1095 nucleotides long. RefSeq lists it as uncharacterized. NCBI's taxonomy places the organism in Eukaryota, Metazoa, Chordata, Actinopteri, Cypriniformes, Cyprinidae. The record is from RefSeq and is a predicted model, not a curated record. The transcript is spliced from 2 exons.